RNAcentral lists this ribosomal RNA (887 nucleotides) under Oceanobacillus sp. 28H. RNAcentral's name for it is "bacterial SSU rRNA". It matches the Rfam family "Bacterial small subunit ribosomal RNA", at positions 55 to 907 of the family's 1533-position model. The record is from RNAcentral. Lineage: Bacteria; Bacillati; Bacillota; Bacilli; Caryophanales; Bacillaceae.
AUGCAGUCGAGCGCAGGAAGUUAUCUGAUCCUCUUUUAGAGGUGACGAUAAUGGAAUGAGCGGCGGACGGGUGAGUAACACGUAGGCAACCUGCCUGUAAGACUGGGAUAACUCGUGGAAACGCGAGCUAAUACCGGAUAACACUUUUCAUCUCCUGAUGAGAAGUUGAAAGGCGGCUUUUGCUGUCACUUACAGAUGGGCCUGCGGCGCAUUAGCUAGUUGGUAAGGUAAUGGCUUACCAAGGCGACGAUGCGUAGCCGACCUGAGAGGGUGAUCGGCCACACUGGGACUGAGACACGGCCCAGACUCCUACGGGAGGCAGCAGUAGGGAAUCUUCCGCAAUGGACGAAAGUCUGACGGAGCAACGCCGCGUGAGUGAUGAAGGUUUUCGGAUCGUAAAACUCUGUUGUUAGGGAAGAACAAGUGCCAUAGUAACUGAUGGCACCUUGACGGUACCUAACCAGAAAGCCACGGCUAACUACGUGCCAGCAGCCGCGGUAAUACGUAGGUGGCAAGCGUUGUCCGGAAUUAUUGGGCGUAAAGCGCUCGCAGGCGGUUCUUUAAGUCUGAUGUGAAAUCUUACGGCUCAACCGUAAACGUGCAUUGGAAACUGGGGAACUUGAGUGCAGAAGAGGAGAGUGGAAUUCCACGUGUAGCGGUGAAAUGCGUAGAGAUGUGGAGGAACACCAGUGGCGAAGGCGACUCUCUGGUCUGUAACUGACGCUGAGGAGCGAAAGCGUGGGGAGCGAACAGGAUUAGAUACCCUGGUAGUCCACGCCGUAAACGAUGAGUGCUAGGUGUUAGGGGGUUUCCGCCCCUUAGUGCUGAAGUUAACGCAUUAAGCACUCCGCCUGGGGAGUACGGGCCGCAAGGCUGAAACUCAAAAG